This 411-nucleotide ribosomal RNA is filed under the name uncultured microorganism. Its description in RNAcentral is "bacterial SSU rRNA". It matches the Rfam family "Bacterial small subunit ribosomal RNA", at positions 9 to 416 of the family's 1533-position model. The record is from RNAcentral.
GAGUUUGAUCAUGGCUCAGAUUGAACGCUGGCGGCAUGCCUUACACAUGCAAGUCGAACGGCAGCAUGAUCUAGCUUGCUAGAUUGAUGGCGAGUGGCGAACGGGUGAGUAAUACAUCGGAACGUGCCCUGUAGUGGGGAGUAACUAGUCGAAAGAUUAGCUAAUACCGCAUACGACCUGAGGGUGAAAGUGGGGGACCGCAAGGCCUCAUGCUAUAGGAGCGGCCGAUGUCUGAUUAGCUAGUUGGUGGGGUAAAGGCCCACCAAGGCGACGAUCAGUAGCUGGUCUGAGAGGACGAUCAGCCACACUGGGACUGAGACACGGCCCAGACUCCUACGGGAGGCAGCAGUGGGGAAUUUUGGACAAUGGGCGAAAGCCUGAUCCAGCAAUGCCGCGUGUGUGAAGAAGGCC